Molecule: small nucleolar RNA, 105 nt
Filed under: Nicotiana sylvestris (wood tobacco)
Lineage: Eukaryota; Viridiplantae; Streptophyta; Magnoliopsida; Solanales; Solanaceae
Also listed under: 1 other name
Description: Plant small nucleolar RNA R71
Rfam family: Plant small nucleolar RNA R71
About the family: R71 is a member of the C/D box family of snoRNAs containing the C (UGAUGA) and D (CUGA) box motifs. Multiple nearly identical copies of this snoRNA have been identified in Arabidopsis, and it is thought to function as a 2'-O-ribose methylation guide for 18S ribosomal RNA.
Source: Rfam by way of RNAcentral
UGGCAUGAUAUGGACACUUAACCAACAUACCCUUGAAUCUCUCCCACGUUUCUUGUAAUGUUUCUAUUAGUUUCUGUCUGAAGCUCAAAAUCUCAUCAAUUGUUG